UACGGGGGGAGCAAGCGUUGUUCGGAUUUACUGGGCGUAAAGGGCGCGUAGGCGGUCAGCACAAGUCAGUUGUGAAAUCUCCGGGCUUAACCCGGAAAGGUCAACUGAUACUGUGCGACUAGAGUGCGGAAGGGGCAACUGGAAUUCUUGGUGUAGCGGUGAAAUGCGUAGAUAUCAAGAGGAACACCUGCGGCGAAGGCGGCUCACUGGCCCGGUACUGACGCUGAGGCGCGAAAGCGUGGGGAGCAAACAGG
RNAcentral lists this ribosomal RNA (254 nucleotides) under uncultured bacterium. RNAcentral describes it as "partial 16S ribosomal RNA". It matches the Rfam family "Bacterial small subunit ribosomal RNA", at positions 524 to 776 of the family's 1533-position model. The record is from RNAcentral.